This 301-nucleotide ribosomal RNA is filed under the name uncultured bacterium. RNAcentral describes it as "partial 16S ribosomal RNA". It matches the Rfam family "Bacterial small subunit ribosomal RNA", at positions 509 to 809 of the family's 1533-position model. The record is from RNAcentral.
CAGCAGCCGCGGUAAGACAGAGGAUGCAAGCGUUAUCCGGAAUGAUUGGGCGUAAAGGGCUCGCAGGCGGUUUCUUAAGUCUGAUGUGAAAGCCCCCGGCUCAACCGGGGAGGGUCAUUGGAAACUGGGAAACUUGAGUGCAGAAGAGGAGAGUGGAAUUCCACGUGUAGCGGUGAAAUGCGUAGAGAUGUGGAGGAACACCAGCGGCGAAGGCGACUCUCUGGUCUGUAACUGACGCUGAGGAGCGAAAGCGUGGGGAGCGAACAGGAUUAGAUACCCGUGUAGUCCCUGUCUCUUAUAA